AGUUUAGACACAUUACCUUACUUGAUGGAGGAGGUUGAUUUUCAGUCCUUGAUCCCUCAAAUUUCUUCAGAAAGUUUCCUCCGACAUGCUUAGUCUUCUUCGUUGUCUCCGAGAACUUUGAAAAAAGGUGGAUCCGGUGGAAGUAGUAGUGGAUCCGACGGAGGAAAGGGAGAGCGUGGCGUCGACAGCUAUGAAGAAGAUUAAGAAGGAUGGAGAUGAAGAAGUUAACCACGUCGUCGUUGAGAAAUAAAAGCAAAACUAAAACUAUUUAUAGAUUAUAAGAUGAAAUUAAGGGUGAAAUAGAGGUUGCAAGGCAACCCUAAAUACCCUUAUUGAUGUCAUUUUUUCGGGAGGAUCUUUUCUCUCCCUCUUCUCUCUCUAAUACCUUUCAGAGAGAAAAUAGGUUCUCGACCUGAUUUUGGGGGCUAGAGUUUUUAUGGAGACUUAUGUCACAAUGUCGUUGGGCUCUGCGUCUGGCAUCACUUGCGUAUAAGCGGUGGAAGCUGUUUUUUCCGACAUCGGUGGCUCUGUUUACCACUGUUGGCUGACACUUCCAGUACUGAUUGGCUUCUUCUGCAACGGUGGCUGGUUAUGUCUCCAUCGAUUCAGCCUCUGGCGAUUCAGAUGGCUAGUGAAUGAAAGCAAGCCCCAAAUAGCAAAAUUUCCUUAACGAUUGAAAACUUUUUGAUUAAAGAAGAAGAUGAAGAAGAUUUACAGAUUUGUAUCAAGUGGAGUCAUAUUUGCAACAAAAGUCAAUUGGAAUUUCGCCUUGGUUUGUUUGGGCGAAGAAGAUGAAUAAGCUUUCCGGCGAUUUCUGCUUAGAAUGAAGCUUCCGACAUCACAACAACUUUUCGAUAAUCGGAGACUCCCUCCUCCUCUUCAACUUCCCACAUGUCUUCCA
This is a long non-coding RNA of Arabidopsis thaliana (thale cress), 901 nucleotides long. RefSeq annotates it as other RNA. The transcript has 2 exons. NCBI's taxonomy places the organism in Eukaryota, Viridiplantae, Streptophyta, Magnoliopsida, Brassicales, Brassicaceae. The record is from RefSeq.